UGAGAUGUAUCUCAGUUGGUAAAGUGCCUGCCUUGCAUGCACAAGGCCCUGGGUUCAAUCCCCAGGACCACAA
Molecule: transfer RNA, 73 nt
Filed under: Ictidomys tridecemlineatus (thirteen-lined ground squirrel)
Lineage: Eukaryota; Metazoa; Chordata; Mammalia; Rodentia; Sciuridae
Description: Spermophilus tridecemlineatus (thirteen-lined ground squirrel) tRNA
Rfam family: tRNA
About the family: Transfer RNA (tRNA) molecules are approximately 80 nucleotides in length. Their secondary structure includes four short double-helical elements and three loops (D, anti-codon, and T loops).
Source: Rfam by way of RNAcentral